CCUACGGGAGGCUGCAGUGAGGAAUAUUGGUCAAUGGGCGAAAGCCUGAACCAGCCAAGUAGCGUGCAGGAUGACGGCCCUACGGGUUGUAAACUUCUUUUAUCCGGGAAUAAAGAGCGUUACGUGUACCGCUUUGCAUGUACCGUGUGAAUAAGGAUCGGCUAAGUCCGUGCCAGCAGCCGCGGUAAUACGGAGGGUCCGGGCGUUAUCCGGAUUUAUUGGGUUUAAAGGGUGCGUAGGCCGCAUGUUAAGUGUGCUGUGAAAUUUCCGGGCUCAACCCGGGCAGUGCAGUUGAAACUGGCGUGCUUGAGUGCGCGGGAGGUAGGCGGAAUUCGUGGUGUAGCGGUGAAAUGCUUAGAUAUGACGAAGAACUCCGAUUGCGAAGGCAGCUUACUGGAGCGGAACUGACGCUGAGGCACGAAAGCGUGGGUAUCGAACAGGAUUAGAUACCCGUGUAGUC
This 460-nucleotide ribosomal RNA is filed under the name uncultured bacterium. RNAcentral's name for it is "partial 16S ribosomal RNA". It matches the Rfam family "Bacterial small subunit ribosomal RNA", at positions 338 to 795 of the family's 1533-position model. The record is from RNAcentral.